This 255-nucleotide ribosomal RNA is filed under the name uncultured bacterium. Its description in RNAcentral is "partial 16S ribosomal RNA". It matches the Rfam family "Bacterial small subunit ribosomal RNA", at positions 524 to 776 of the family's 1533-position model. The record is from RNAcentral.
UACGUAGGAGGCAAGCGUUGUCCGGAAUUACUGGGCGUAAAGCGCGUGUAGGUGGUGGGACAAGUCUGCUGUGAAAGCGCCUGGCUUAACCGGGCGAGGUCGGCGGAAACUGUCCGACUCGAGGACGGUAGAGGGGGGGUGGAAUUCCCGGUGUAGUGGUGAAAUGCGUAGAGAUCGGGAGGAACACCUGUGGCGAAGGCGGCCCCCCUGGGCCGGCCCUGACACUGAGACGCGAAGGCGUGGGGAGCGAACGGG